GUUCGGUCGCUCCAGAUUGAACGCUGGCGGGAUGCUUUACAUGCAAGUCGAACGGCAGCACGGACUUCGGUCUGGCGGUGGCGGACGGGUGGGUAAUGUAUCGGAACUUGUCUGCCUAGUAGCGGGGGAUAACUACGCGAAAGCCUAAUACCACGCAUACGCCCUUCGAGGAAAGCGGGGACCUUCCGGGCCUCUGCCACUAUUAAAACGGCCGAUAUCGGAUUAGCUAGUUGGUGGGAGUAACGGCUCACCAAGGCGACGAUCCGUAGCUGGUUUAAGAGGACGACCAGCCACACUGGGACUGAGACCUGGCGGAACCACCCGGGAGGUAGCAGUGAAAUUUUGGACAAUGGGGAAACCCUGAUCCAGCCAUCCCGCGUGUGCGAUGAAGGCCUUCGAGGUUGUAAAAAGCACUUUUGGCAGGAAAGAAACGGCACGGGAUAAUACCCCGUGCAACUGACAGUACCUGCAGAAUAAGCACCGGCUAACUACGUGCCAGCAGCCGCGGUAAUACGUAGGGUGCAAGCGUUAAUCGGAAUUACUGGGCGUAAAGCGUGCGCAGGCGGUUUGGAAAGAAAGAUGUGAAAUCCCAGAGCUUAACUUUGGAACUGCAUUUUACAACUACCGAGCUAGAGUGUGUCAGAGGGAGGUGGAAUUCCGCGUAUAGCGGUGGUAGUAGAUAUGCGAAGGAACACCGAUGGCGAAGGCAGCCUCCUGGGAUAACACUGACGCUCAUGCACGAAAGCGUGGGGAGCAAACGGGAUUAGAUACCCUGGUAGUCCACGCCCUAAACGAUGUCAACUAGCUGUUGGGGCCUUCGGGCCUUGGUAGCGCAGCUAACGCGUGAAGUUGACCGCCUGGGGAGUACGGUCGCAAGAUUAAAACUCAAAGGAAUUGACGGGGACCUUUAAGCGGUGGAUGGUGUGGAUUAAUUUUCGAUGCAACGCGAAAACCUUACCUACCCUUGACGUGUGGAAUCCCGAAGAGAUUUUGGGAGUGCUCGCAAGAGAACCGGAACACAGGUGCUGCAUGGCUGUCGUCAGCUCGUGUCGUGAGAUGUUGGUUAAGUCCGCAACGAGCGCAACCCUUGUCAUUAGUUGCUGAAAAGGGCACUCUAAUGAAAUUGCCGGUGACAAACCGGAGGAAGGUUGGGGAUGACGUCAGUCCUCCAUGGCCCUUAUGGGUAGAGCCCACGUCAUACAAUGGUCGGGACAGAGGGUCGCCAACCCGCAGCGAGGGGAGCCAAUCCCAGAAACCCGAUCGUAGUCCGGAUCGCAGUCUGCAACUCGACUGCGUGAAGUCGGGAGAAUCGCUAGUAAUCGCGGAUCAGCAUGUCGCGGUGAAUACGUUCCCGGGUCUUGGCACACACCGCCCGUCACACCAUGGGAGUGGGUUUUACCAGAAAGUAUUGCCGUAAGGAGGGCGAUUACCACGGUAGGAUUCACUGACUGGGGUGAAGUCGUAACAAGGUAA
This 1473-nucleotide ribosomal RNA is filed under the name uncultured Bordetella sp. RNAcentral describes it as "partial 16S-23S ribosomal RNA intergenic spacer". It matches the Rfam family "Bacterial small subunit ribosomal RNA". Lineage: Bacteria; Pseudomonadati; Pseudomonadota; Betaproteobacteria; Burkholderiales; Alcaligenaceae. The record is from RNAcentral.